Molecule: long non-coding RNA, 538 nt
Organism: Cryptomeria japonica (Japanese cedar)
Lineage: Eukaryota; Viridiplantae; Streptophyta; Pinopsida; Cupressales; Cupressaceae
Exons: 3
Source: RefSeq, a predicted model, not a curated record
AAAAGGCUCUCUGUAUAAAUCCUCUACAAAUACUAAUACAACAACACCCAAUUCCCAAUUCAAUUGAAGCAGAAAACCCAUUUUUAAGUGAAGAUCUGAAAUCAGUACAACUUUUGACAGAAUGUCUGAACAACAGAAGCCUACUGCUGUAACACCACCUGCUGCUUCUCCAGAAGGAUAUCCUCCUCCAGGGUAUCCCACUCAAGCUCCACCAUCACAAUAUGUAGAAGCGGGUCCUGUCAAAACACAAAGUAGAGGAGAGAAAGGUUGUAUAGAAGGAUGCUUAGCGGGCUUGUGUUGUUGUUGGUUGUGUGAGGAAUGUUGUAUAUGAGGACAUAUGCUUCGAUCUUGUUGUUAUAUUUGAUAAUAAAUUAUAUGGAAAGAUAUUGUAAUAUUCAAAUUUAUGUAAUAUCUUGUAGAUUAGUGGUAAGAUGAAGUUAUGUCUUCAUUUAUUCUAAUUAGUCAUUUCUCAUAAGCUCGUAUCUUAGAUUUAUUGUAUCUAGCCACUUGUUAUAAAUUUAUGUCCCGAUUUAUGAAA